This 579-nucleotide ribosomal RNA is filed under the name uncultured Bacteroidales bacterium. RNAcentral describes it as "bacterial SSU rRNA". It matches the Rfam family "Bacterial small subunit ribosomal RNA", at positions 116 to 694 of the family's 1533-position model. Lineage: Bacteria; Pseudomonadati; Bacteroidota; Bacteroidia; Bacteroidales. The record is from RNAcentral.
CGUAUCCAACCUGCCGUCUACCCUUGGACAGCCUUCUGAAAGGAAGAUUAAUACAAGAUGGCAUCAUGAGUCCGCAUGCUCACAUGAUUAAAGGUAUUCCGGUAGACGAUGGGGAUGCGUUCCAUUAGAUAGUAGGCGGGGUAACGGCCCACCUAGUCUUCGAUGGAUAGGGGUUCUGAGAGGAAGGUCCCCACAUUGGAACUGAGACACGGUCCAAACUCCUACGGGAGGCAGCAGUGAGGAAUAUUGGUCAAUGGGCGAGAGCCUGAACCAGCCAAGUAGCGUGAAGGAUGACUGCCCUAUGGGUUGUAAACUUCUUUUAUAAAGGAAUAAAGUCGGGUAUGCAUACCCGUUUGCAUGUACUUUAUGAAUAAGGAUCGGCUAACUCCGUGCCAGCAGCCGCGGUAAUACGGAGGAUCCGAGCGUUAUCCGGAUUUAUUGGGUUUAAAGGGAGCGUAGAUGGAUGUUUAAGUCAGUUGUGAAAGUUUGCGGCUCAACCGUAAAAUUGCAGUUGAUACUGGAUAUCUUGAGUGCAGUUGAGGCAGGCGGAAUUCGUGGUGUAGCGGUGAAAUGCUUAGA